Molecule: transfer RNA, 64 nt
Filed under: Septifer bilocularis
Lineage: Eukaryota; Metazoa; Mollusca; Bivalvia; Mytilida; Mytilidae
Description: tRNA-Thr
Source: RNAcentral
GCCUUUAAAGCUUUUAUGAAGCAUUAGUUUUGUAAUCUAAAGAAAAGUUUUUACUUUAAAGGUU